GGCCCGGCAAGUCAGUGAGCAGAGCAGACCUCUGAGGAAGCAGGCCGAAAGGCAGAGGGUCGCCCGGGCCGGGCCCAGCGCACCUCGGGUCACCAGUCCAAGGGCGCUGUCCCCGCAGUGGGUCUGUGCCCGGACGUCUGCAGCAGAACGCACCCGACCCAGGCAAUGCCCGGCGCCGAGGGGUCCGGAAGUCGGCCAGCUGUAGCCGCCGGGCCGCGGGGCCGAGGGGAAGGAGCGGGCGGUCCGGGCCGACCACCGCAGGGCCGGGGCGCCGAAGGAAUGCCUUUUGGAUCUAGCCCUGCUCCUCCCAAAAGCUGGCGGGAGGAACCAGGAGACCCCAGGAUCCUGGACAGAAGCAGAUGUUCCCUGAAUCCCCAGGGAAAUGUUACCUGUGGAGGCCAGGGGCUGGGCAUCCUGAGAGCGAAAGGAGGAGCUGGAAGUAGAUGUCGAGGGGGCCUGAGGAGGUGGGUGACAGGGCCCGUGCCCAGCACAGGAAGGCAUCAGCACCCCUGCUGGGCUCACUGUGGCUCCCAGCACUUCCUGAGGCCCUGUCUCCUGCUUCUAACUCCUGUCCUGUGCUGGACUUCUCCUCAG
This 594-nucleotide long non-coding RNA is filed under the name Equus caballus (horse). RNAcentral's name for it is "lncRNA (ENSECAG00000048795.1)". Lineage: Eukaryota; Metazoa; Chordata; Mammalia; Perissodactyla; Equidae. The record is from RNAcentral.